This 482-nucleotide ribosomal RNA is filed under the name uncultured bacterium. Its description in RNAcentral is "bacterial SSU rRNA". It matches the Rfam family "Bacterial small subunit ribosomal RNA", at positions 28 to 526 of the family's 1533-position model. The record is from RNAcentral.
GACGAACGCUGGCGGCGUGCUUAACACAUGCAAGUCGAGCGGUAAGGCCCUUCGGGGUACACGAGCGGCGAACGGGUGAGUAACACGUGAGCAAUCUGCCCUCCACAUCGGGAUACCCCCCGGAAACGGGAGCUAAUACCGGAUACGACCACUUCAGGCAUCUGAUGGUGGUGGAAAGUUCCGGCGGUGGAGGAUGAGCUCGCGGCCUAUCAGCUUGUUGGUGGGGUAACGGCCCACCAAGGCUUCGACGGGUAGCCGGCCUGAGAGGGUGACCGGCCACACUGGGACUGAGACACGGCCCAGACUCCUACGGGAGGCAGCAGUGGGGAAUAUUGGACAAUGGGCGAAAGCCUGAUCCAGCAACGCCGCGUGAGGGAUGACGGCCUUCGGGUUGUAAACCUCUUUCAGUAGGGACGAAGCGCAAGUGACGGUACCUACAGAAGAAGCACCGGCCAACUACGUGCCAGCCGCCGCCGUAACAC